UAAUAAUUAUAUCAAGAUUAAGAGUAUAAGUACAUUUAAUGAACUAGAGAAUUUGUUUUAUAUAUUCAAUACAAAAACACUUAUCUCUACUUGAUCCAUUCAAUACAUACAAAAUGUACUAGCACAAGAAGACGAAACUAUACCGUUCCCAUAAUGAAGAUACAUUAUAUUAAUCUUGGGCUACAAUCAUACCGAUGGCUUUGUCCAAUUUCCAUCUUAGAUUGUGAACAUAAAUUUUAUGCUUAUAAGAACCGACGAUUUAAUCUUCCGUGUAUAAGCUAAACUCUAUACACUAAAUCAUCUACUAUAUAAGUAAAUGACACACAUACUGGUACAUGAUCUAUUUAAUUCUUUAUUAAACAAUGAAUAAAUAAUUGUUCUAUAAUAAAUACUAUAUCCAAACACAUGGUUAAUAGUAUAUAUCCCAACAAUCUCCCACUUAGACUUUUAACCAUGACAAUUGUUAGAAUAUACCAUGUCUAAACGCAUGGUUAAUGGUAUAUACCCCAACAAUCUUCCACUUAGACUUUUAACCAUGCAUUUACAACUUUCACAUGUAUUCCUUUUGCACGACUACCAAAAGUCUUAGCGACUAAGCUCUUUGCGAAAAUUAACUUACCAAGUUGUUUUCUGAUGCAACUUCGUCUAGUAGUGCUUCGUCGUAAAUGACCGGUUCUGUACUAAGAUCUUCAGGGAUCCUAUCAUGAAACUCUCCAAAAAAAUGUAUUUCUUUUCAAGAAUUGUUACAUCCCGUGUUUUCAUGCGUUGGAAAGUGUACCAGUUAAAUGAUAUUAGUAAUGGACACAAGGUUAUCCCCCAAGUUUAUAGGUGGUUAGAUUGAUGGUACAAAUGUGUUGUAAAUAUCAGAAGUUAAACAAAUAGAAGAAAAUAAGUUUCGUCGAGGUUUAAAGUUUAUUUGAGUGAAAUACGGUCCAAGCUAUGAUAUUCCGUAUUUUUGGAAUAGGAAAGUGAACCGUCCAACAUGAGGAAAUUUAUCUGAAUCCGGAGAAUUUGGUUAUAUUUAAGCAUGAAAAACAAGAACUUGGUAUAUGUGAGAAAUGAAGUCCAAAAAUAAUUUGGGCCUUAACAAGUGUGACCACGGUGAUUGAGAAUAAUAUUUUGUGUGUAUCAAAAUGGGCUAUGGACUAGUGCUAUGUCACAUAAUCAUGACAAUGAGUAUAUGAAGGGUGAUAAAAAUAAUUGGCAUUAAAGUAAAUUGAGAUCAAAAAAUUAGUUAUAAGCAUAAUUGAUUAAAUAUAAUGGGAGAGUAAAGAAUUGUUUGUGGUAUUGAUUAAUAAUUAUGUGGAUAGGUGAUGAGUAAUGGUAGCUCCACAUGACACAUGGUAUGGAAAAAAUGAUGAGUAAUAGUUAAGAUAGAUGAUAGACCUUGCACGUGUAAAAGGAAAAGGUAGAAAUGACACCUUUUAAUUCUGUAAAGAAUCCAACAAAUGAUGGAAAGUGCAUCAUCUCUAUUUUUUUUUUGAAAGCUGCAAACAUAAUCCUUUUAGGUAUCAAUAGCAACAUAAUUCAUUUUUAUGAACCACCAACCACGGUUUUCUUCAGGAAACGUAUAACCCCUAUCACGAAGAAACAUAGCGCAUCUUGCUCUAUACUUCGAUUUCACUGUUCUGUUUUAUCGCGUUAUUUAAUUCGGACUUUCUUCAUAUUAAAGUAAGGAGGAAGAAGAUUAUUUCUUGGAAUAUAAGACCUGCGAGCUCGAGAAGUAGACGUUGGACAUUAGAUAGAGUUCAAGGUAGACAGGGAGGUGAGCUUGAUCCAGAUUCUCAGUAGCUGUCAGCUGAUUGAGAGCACUCCAUUGUUCGGAGGUGCUUAUGUUUAUUCUUUUGGUUCCUUUAUGUAUUUCGCACACGACGGAGUCCUGUUCCAUCUAUAUGUAUAAUAUGUCAGUAGAGGCUCGUAGACGCGCAGUGUGGGUUAGAUGGUCUCACAAGAUGUUAUAUUUGUAUAUGUUAUUUUGAUGGCCAAGAGGCAAAUGUAUAUAAGUAUUUAUGUUAUAUAUAAAAUAUGAUUUUCCUACAAUUGGUGUAUAAAAUUGGUAAAAGGGCAUUAAAUGAGUAAAAUGAGUAUUAGAGCGAGUGGUGCUCGGUGGCUAGCCCCGGGUACCCGUCCCGGCCCCUAGUUGGGUCGUGACAGAAGUGGUAUCAGAACAGUUCGUCCUAGGAAGUGUCUACGAGCCGUGUCUAGUAGAGUCUUGUUUAUGGUGUGUAGCGCGCCACGCCAAUAAACAGGAGGCUACCGGGCAUUUAGGAAAAAUGACCAUCUUUCAUCUUAAGAGAUCGUGCGAUAGAGCCAAAAGAUAGGAAAUGGUAUCCCUUAUAUACUGAUCUUUGAUUUCAGCAAGAGAGUAGUGUCGACAAGAGAGGACAAAUAAUGCUACUGGAAAUUACAGAGAUUAAUAUUUCAUUGAAGUUACGUUAUCAGAAAUUGUAUAUACGGAAUGGCGACUGGUCAUCAUCACGGUUAGUAAUUGUGAAUAUAGUAAGAAAAUGGAUUGAAUGUAUAUAUAUUGAUGAUAAGUUCAGUUACAAAGUGUGAACAGAAAAAGCUGAAGAAAUUAGUAAAAAGAUAAGUAAGCAGGGUAUAUGUUAGAUAUAGUGCGAAUGUUGCAGGUAUGAUUGAAAUGUCGCUAGAGAUUAAAAAGGGAAAGUGAACAGAAGAGUAUAACAAGUACAGUUUGAAUUGGACAUACGAGGUAAGUUCAUCAUUUCCAUACAGUUGUUGACAUCGGGAGCCCUGCGUGGCUAUGAUAUACUAUAUAUAUGUUGGCCCUGUGAGGCAUUGUUGGUAUUUUCUGCGUGCAGGUUUUAGGAUAGUAAGAAAUACAGAGGAAACUCUGUCAAAAUUCUCUUAAAAAUAAUAAUAAUAAUAAUAAUAAUAAUAAAUCUUGAAAAGUCAU
This is a long non-coding RNA of Lycium barbarum (goji berry), 2917 nucleotides long. RefSeq lists it as uncharacterized. The record is from RefSeq and is a predicted model, not a curated record. NCBI's taxonomy places the organism in Eukaryota, Viridiplantae, Streptophyta, Magnoliopsida, Solanales, Solanaceae. The transcript has 3 exons.